AAACAGAAAAUAGUGUAUGGGGUUGCAUGGGUAAGAUUGCUGGAUAUUCUUUGUACGGUUCAAUUUCAAGUGGUUCAUUUAAAACAUAUAGCAGGAAGAGUUCUCAAGCACAACCUUGUUCAGUAGAUUCCAAGCAGCCACCACAUCCUGUUGAACUUUAGAUUUAUCUGAUUUCUGCAUCCAUAUCAUGAAUAAUCAAGAAAAUGGAUUCAACCUUGAAAGGGUUGGCCAGAAGCGGGAGCGUGACGAUGACGAAAUGGACAGCGAGUGUCUGCCGAUCUCCAAACGUAUCAAUAGUCUCUCACUCAACACGCAAUAUGGACAGGGGGUAAGCUCCAACGGUUGGUCGGCGGCCGGACCGUCGAACGCUCUCCCCACCCCCUCCCCUUCCACCGACCCGCCUCUACACAUGCCAGUGUUGGUGAAUGGCUCCGCUCCCGCCCCUGUUGUUUCUACCCCGGCGCCGGCGCCACUGCCUGCGGAGCCGGACCUGAGUCCAGAGGAGUGUCCAGAGUACUUCUCCAUAAACUGUUAUCUGUAUCAGCUACAUAUGGAAAGAUUGAGGCGAAGGCAAGCGGGUGUUCAGUUCUAAAUUUUGAUCGUCGCUCAUCCGUUGCUAUCUGUUGUAACUUGCAUAUUGGGAGAUUGUGAAGACGGCAGGCUGGUGGCCAGUUUUGAACGCUAUCUUAGUGUUCCAGCUGAAGAGACAACGGACCGUCGGCGUCCACGCAGAGCAGAUGGUGUGCAUCUGAUUGUAAAGACAGCAGAAUGUUUUCUCCUGGAUUUCUCCUGGCAGUUUCUGUCUUCUCCUGGCAUCUCCUGUCGUCUCCUUGCUCUUAUGAACAGAUUGUUGAAUUGAGAAAAGGCUGUACUGGUACGUGGAUAUUCUAGGAAGUAGGGACCAGUCGCCGUUCGCUCAGGUAAUGUCACCGGCUUACUAAGCCGUGUGAACGUGAAAAGUGUGUGGUUGGUUGUUCAUACGGUUUGUAUUGUCCUACGCGUGUGGGUCGUUUUACACAAGCCAUGUGUAAUACUGUUAGUGAACAAUAACCUGCCAUUUGUAAGUGUGAUUGCAGUUGAGUUCGAUAAGUGACGUGUUGAUAUUGUGUGUGCUAACCGAUUAUGAAUACUGCUCUUGCUAGUCCUGAGGUGUCGCUUUUUGCAGCGAGCUGUGCUCCUUGCGUGGUCGAUUUUCUGGAUGCGCUAAUUUUAGCGCACCUGCUGUCUGUGAUGGCUUGUUUGCAAGACGAGCUGUUAUUACUUGUUCUGAUGUCAUAUUGAGUCGCUUAGUCAAAUUCGCUGUUAGUGCUGUUAAUUCAAGACGCAGAUGUCCGUUUUCUGGAAACUCAAAGACAGACAAUAACUGAACCUACGCAUAGGUUGUGGAUUUUUGGAAUGAUCGUGCUUGCAGUCUCAACACUGAGCGUAAUGGAAACCAUAUGUAAGUGCUGUGAUCUGUAUAGACUUGUGUCGGCUCCCCUGUCUGAGCAGUUAGUUGAGCGGAGUGUCACUGGAGGUGCUGAGAGCAUUGUCAUUCGAGAUGCUUACGUUCUCUUGUUUUUCUACUAUCAGUCAGCAUGAAAGCCUAGAGCAUGCCGCGUCACAUCACAUUUGGCAUUAAUUUUGACUGCCAUGCCUGUCAGUAAAUUUAGUGCGUUGUGCAUGCACAAUGUUGCUGUGCAUUCACCAAAUGAACGGCAUCUUUGGAUAAUACCGAACUCCGGACGCUGAAUCUCGCUCUUUGUCCUUCUUUAUGUGCCUGGCCACAUCGGCAUGAUUUAUUGAAAUUAACGUGAAAUGUCGGGAACUCCACGCUGCAGGCAAAAUAUGUCUUCAACUUGACCGCUGUUCACCCAAAGUGUCGUCUGAAGUUAUGUUUAGUGACUGCUCGGACUGUGGCUAGUCAUUGUCGGCAUUCAAGGCCAUAACCAAGCCAAGCUCUCAGCCUUUAUCCCAAACUGAUCUCACCGUUUCUAACUGCGUUGAUCUUGCCUUGCUAUGGUGUGUGAUGCAAAAGUCGUCAAUAUAUUGAGGCGAGUGCAAUGA
RNA transcript from Amphibalanus amphitrite, 2046 nucleotides. RefSeq lists it as uncharacterized. NCBI's taxonomy places the organism in Eukaryota, Metazoa, Arthropoda, Thecostraca, Balanomorpha, Balanidae. The record is from RefSeq and is a predicted model, not a curated record. The transcript has 4 exons.